This 6342-nucleotide long non-coding RNA is filed under the name Sus scrofa (pig). RNAcentral's name for it is "lncRNA (ENSSSCG00065045973.1)". The record is from RNAcentral. Lineage: Eukaryota; Metazoa; Chordata; Mammalia; Artiodactyla; Suidae.
GGAUCGGGAGCUUGGGCUUAUCAGACACAACUUAGAAUAGAUUUACAAGGAGAUCCUGCUGAAUAGCAUUGAGAACUAUGUCUAGAUACUCAUGUUGCAACAGAACAAAGUGUGGGGAAAAAAUGUAAUUGUAAUGUAUACAUGUAAGGAUAACUUGAUCCCCUUGCUGUACAGUGGCGAAAAAAAAAACCUGUGUAUUUGGGGGCAAGCUACUUAUAGUCUUUGAUCUUCAAUUUUAUAACUUUCAAAAAUUGUUGUGUAGAUUACAUGAAAUUAUGUAUGUAAAGUCCCUAGUGUAGUAUGUGAAAUAAAAUAGAUGGUUAGUAAUUUCUAGACAUAGUUAUUAUUCCAAUUUCUGAUUAUGUCAUUGGGCCACCAUUUCCACAAUGCUUCACCAUUAUAUGCAAUACAAAUAGUACAAAUAAAAUAUAGAAUGCAUCUUCUUAUUUUUCUAUAAGAAAAUUAGUUUUGUUUUCUUAUUUUCCAUAGUCACAGCCUCCUUUUGCUCUGAAGGAAUCUUGAGUUAUAUAUCAUAUAAAGAAUUCUACAAACUCUAUGUUGAGUCCUCACCACACUAUUGCUGGUUUGAAUGCUCAUGCUACCAACACGAGCAGCCAAGCAUGGUCCACCUCAGACCCAGUCAGAUCAUCAAAUGUGCUUAUAGCACAGUCUAACUCAGGAACAGGUUACCAACUAAUUUUUUGUUGUUAUCCUUUCCCUUUUCCCAUUUACAGAAAAGGUUGUUGGUGGCAACCUUCCCAAUUUAGUUCAUGGAGAUGGACUGUGACAGGAUUACCGGAGAAAUGGAAACCACCUGGAGAUCAAGAAGUGCUAAAUUCCAUCUAGACACAAAUCAGAGUCAUCAUCUUGCCUCAAACUCCUCAGGAAAAAGAGUUUUUAACACCCUUCUGUUUUUCAGCUGUUUUUCCCCCCUUUGUUUUACUUAGGACAGUUUUUCUCACUGUAUCUUCAAGUUUAUUGACCUGUUAUUCAGCAGUUUUGAGUUGGCUAAGCCCACCCAGUCAUUUCUUUUUCCAUUUCAGGCACUGUAUUUUUCCACUCUACCAGUUCCAUUUUUUAAAAAUAUUCUGUAAUUUUUAAAUCUGUAAAAAUCUUAAUAUGUUUGUAAUUCCUUAAAAUCCUUGAUUAUAUCUAUAAUAGCUAUUUUAAAGCCUUUGUCUACUUAUUCUAUCAUUAUCUAUUAUUGAUGUGUCUGUUUCUUUUGUGUGAUUUUUCUCUUGGUUAUGUGUUACAUUAAACUGCUUCAUCACAUAUUCACUGAGUUUUGAUUGGUUGCUGGACACUGUAAUGCGAUAUUAUUGGCUAUCUAGAUUUUGCUUUAUUCCUUCACAAAGACUUGAUAUUUUUCAAAGUAUCUGUGCCUCAGCCUGAUCCUUUUGAGGCUUAUUUUUAAGUGUGGUUAAAGUGGGUCAAAAGUAUCUGUUACUUUGAGGCUAUUUUGGGUCCACUCCCUGAGGCCUGACUAUUUUGGUGUCUUUACUGAAUGCCCUGGGUGCUAAAAGAAUUUCUUUCUACUCUAGCAGUUGAAAAUCUCUCUCAGACCUGUGUGAGUCCUGGGAAUUGCUCAGUAUACAGCUUCCUGGCAGUUGUUCUCUGUCUGGUCUCAUGGAAAUUUACCCUAUAAAUGUUUGGUGUAACAUACAGUCAAAGAUCCAGGGAAUCAAUGUGUAGAUUUCUGGAGCUCUCUUUUCUAUGUAGCCCUCUUCUCUUAUUCUUCUCCACAAAUUCCAGUUGGUGAGCGUUCAUGAAUUCAGUAUCUUCAUCUCAAUAAGGCUACUGUGAUAUGCUGGGAUUGCUUCUUCCUGCACCACAGCCCUGGAAUUGCCCCCAGGGAGAAAUCCUGGGUGAUCACAGGAUUCACCUCAUUGAUUUCCCUUUUCUCACUCCUUAACUGCCUGCUCUCUACUGUCUGUCUGAGAGCUUAUUUAAUGUGUUUUCCUAGUUUUUUAUAGAAGAAAAAAUAAUUCUAGAACCAAUAACUUCGUCAUGGCUCAAUAAAUUAUUUUAAUGAAUAUUAGGUAGGGUGAAGAUAUAAUAUAUUGUACAUACUGUCUCACUUAAUAGAAAGGAAGGAGUACCAUUAAUCAUUAUCUGAGAUAAUAGAUGAAAAUUGGAUUUAUUUUAGGAAAAACAAGAUAAAAUCUUACCUUAUUUUUAAAAAAAAAAUAGAUUAUGUGGCUGUUGGGUGGAAAAUAGAUUGGAAUGAUAGAAAUAAGACUGGGAACGGGAAAACUAGUUAGCAGUCCACUGUAGAGAUGACUGUGGCCAGGACUAUACUGAUAUUUGUAGAAAUGGUAGAAAAGUGAAUGUAUUUGAGAUAGUUUAGAGACUGUAUUACAGAUGAAUUGAAUGGUGAGUGAUGAAUGGAGAAAAGAAGCUAAGCAAAGAUUAAAGUUUCUCAGCUAUGCUUAUUGGAAUCACAUGUUUCCAUUUACUGACAGGGAAUUCUGGCAGAAGAAAAAGUUUCAGAGGAAAAACUGACCAUUCCGAUAUUUAACAUAAUGAAUUAUAUAUGCUUGGUAGGCAUCUUAGUAUGCAUAAAAUAUACAACUAUAAAUGUUGGAUGUGGUGUGGUAAAGUCAGUGUGGCCACAGUAGGAAAUGAGAAUGAGGCUUGAAAGGAAGAGGUUUCCCAUGGCUGGGGGGCGGAGAGGAGAGUUGUCACUGAAUGCCACAGAGGAUCAAAGGGGAAACACCAGGUUUAGUGAGGCAACAAGAAUGAGGGAAAAGUCUAGGCCAGAGCCUUAAUUGGAGUUUCUGUGGGAAAGGCAAGGCCAGUAGAAUAAAUAGCUUAGAAAUGUCAAAUAUGAAUAAUUCCAGUGGACCUUGGCUAUCAUGGUGGUCUCCAGUUGCCUGAAAGUUGGCUCUGCGAUGAGUUAGUCAAAGGCAAAUAUUAUUAGCUUGGUGUGUGAGAGUUUGAUAAGAAGUGGAUGGGGCUAAAUCCUCAGGCUUGGUUGAUUGUGCUCCCAGUCUUUCCUAAUUCUAAGAAUGGGCUAGCCCAGGAGGGGCAGUCUCUCCAUAGCUAGCAAGAUUUUUCAGAUGUCCAAAGAUCAUAAAAUAGGGAAAAGAAAAAACAUGGCUAGUACAAUAAAGAUACUCAAGUUUGAGGAUUUGGGGAGAGAUCAGAAAUUCAGAUAUAAAUAUUUAGUCAAUGGCUUAUAGCUUGCAAUUGAAGCCAUGGAAGACUGAGAUGAUUUCAGAAGAGUAUUUAGAUAGGGAAAAGGUGAGAUCUCAGGACAUAUUCCAAAGGAACUCCAACUCUGGAGGAUAAGAAAGAGGAACUGCAAGGACACAGAGAAGAAAAAAGUCAGAGGUAGGAAGAAAAUAAGAAGGACAGGGUAUCAUGAAAUCCAGAGUAAGAGAAUAUUUUAAAAAGAGGGGCAUGCUACAAGAAACCACAGCCUAGGUGUUGAUAGAUGCUAACAAUUAAAACAACAUAUUGAAUAAAGAUGGUUUAAUCACCACAUACUCUGGAGUACAAAGGAGGGAAGGACCUUUAUCAUUUGUGUGUUCAUGUUUACCCUUCCGAUGCUAAUUUAAUAAAAUGCAUUUAGUUCUAUAAAAAAACAGGGGUAUGCUACACUUCACUAAAUGUUGUAAAAGAUGAAACCGAAUUGAUACAUAAGAGAAUGUAUUUGAUUUUGAAUUAUGGAGGUCACUGGUGACGUUGCUAAGUUUAGGCCGUGGCCAGAUUUGAAUAGGUUUAAGAAAAAUGGAUGGUGCAAUAAUAAGUGAAGUGUAAGAAACUCUUAGAAAUUGAGGGGUGGGCAGUAAGUCAAAGGAGUAGUGGGUAGAGAGGACAGGUCAAAUAAUAAGUUUUUAAUGUUGUAAUAUACUACAACAUAUUGAAUUGCUGAUGGAAAAGAUCCUAUAUACUGGGAGAGGUUGAACACAUAGGAUAAAAGAAUGAAAUAUUCCUUAAAAGUGGUAGGGGAUAAGAUCGAGGAUAUGAGUGGAAGAAUUAGGACAGGAAGUGGGGUGCAUCCUCUACUGUAGAGGCAGGACAUCAGAAUACUUGAGACUACAGCUUAGGUUCAGAAUGCAAUCUGCUCUUUUCAAAUCAAAGCUCCUAAGCCUUUCUGUGUAACUUUGGGCAAGUUAAUUCAUCUAUUUGUCUUUUAGCGUCCUUACUGGUGAAAGGAGGCAAUCAUUAUAGUAUUGACCGCACAAAGUGGUCCCAAGUACUGAAGGAAACUCACCUCAGACAAUGCCUGUGUGUGCAUACCCAGACACGCACAGAGCUUAACACAGUGCCCUGCAGUAAGGAUUAAGUAAAUUUUAGACAUCAUAUAAUAGAACAAAAGAGUAUUUGUGCAUUGCAAAAAGACCAGCCUGAUCUAAAAUCCGAGGUUGUUUAUUUAUUAUCUUCACCAGAUAGCUCUGACUGUGAACUUACACUUUUGAAGAAGUUGGAGUAUGAGUACUUAUAUACAGAUCCAUGAUGGAAAUUGCCAUCUAAAGCAGUGCUACUCAAACUCUAGAUACAAAUGCUUGUCCAAGAACUGUUUAAUGCUGGUCUGUGAUGAGUAUAUAAGUUAAGAGGAACUGUUAAAAAAAAGGUUUAUGAUAAAGUUUAUAUGUCUUGAAAUAAUAAUAAUUUUAAAAUUAGGCUUGGAUCAUUUCUUUGUUUUUAUACAUUUCAUAUUAAUGCAUUUUAUUGGAUUUUUAAAAAUUGUUAACCCAUACUUAAUUAGAAAAACAUAAACAAACCCUGUUCCAACUGUACAAAUAACUUGAGAAGUGCAGAAUAAAGCAUAAAACCUAAUGCCCUUUUUCAAAGGGUUGUUGGAAAACCCACAUUUAUGUGCUUGUUUUUUGUGCACAAAUGAUGGCUAGAGAUUAUAAAAGAGUAAGACACAAUUGCUUACUUACAGGUAUGUAAAUCUAGUAUUUCUAGUAUAAUCUAAGUAUGUAAUGUACACAAAUAUGACAGUCACAUAAUUAUAAAACAGAAUAUUAACCUAGUUAAAAUUGCACUAAUUAAAAGAGACUGCCUGGAAAAAAUCAAUGCCCAUUUUUUGGAGGAGUUAAAUGAUGACCAAUACAUCAAUGUGGCUUGGGAUUGGAUUCGAAUUUUAAUAUUCCUUAAAGAUAUACAGUUGGGAAAAUUCAUUAAACUAUUAAUGCAACCAAUAUUUAUUGAAAACUCAAUAAUCGACCACCGUUAUACUGUUAAAAACAUAGCAGUGAAUGAGAUACCUUUGGUUUCUGUCAAAGAAUUUUUAAAAAUGCAUUGGACUACUUUAUUUGAGGAAAUGAUAAAUGCCAUGUUGAAGAUCUGAGGGAGUUCCUGUCUUGGCGCAGCAGAAACAAAUCCGACUAGGAACCAUGAGGUUGAGGGUUCAAUCCCUGGCCUUGCUCAGUGGGUUCAGGAUCUGGCGUUGCCGUGACCUGUGGUGUAGGUCACAGACGUGGCUCGGAUUUGGCAUUGCUGUGGCUCUGGCAUAGGCUGGAGGCUACAGCUCUGGUUAGACCCCUAGCCUGGGAACUUCCAUAUGCCAUGGGUGUGGCCCUAAAAGAACAAAAAGAAAAAAAUCUGAGAAGGGCAGUCUGGGAUGCUAUUUUCCAUAGGAUGAUGACUGAAAGACUCUCUGAUAAGGAGAGCUUUGCACAGAGACCUGAACAAAAGGAGGGAUUGGCUAUGCAGUUUAGGAAAAGAGUGUUCCAGAAAUGUGGAAUAGCUAGUGCAAAGUCUGGAGAUGGGAAUACAUGCACUGUAUUUAAAGAUCAACAAUGAGGGCUUUACAACUGGUGAAAAACAAGUCAAGAGAAGAGGAGUGAAAGAUGAGGUCAGAACUCAGAUUUGUAGUGUAUCUUACGCUAGGCGGGGAUUUUGGUUUUUUGGUUUUUGUUGCUUUUACUUUUAUUUAAAUAGGAAGCCACUGGAGAUUUUUAGCAGCAUCACGUGAUUUACCUUACACUUUAAGAAUUCUGAGUAGCACUGAGAACUAUGUCUAGAUACUCAUAUUGCAACAGAACAAAGGGUGGGGAAAAAAUGUAUACAUGUAAGAGUAACUUGAUCCCCAUGCUGUACAGUGGGGAAAAAAAAAGAAUUCUUCUGUUUUUUGAAAAUGUAGUAGGCAAAUGAAGAGGCAAGGAGAAUAGUGAAGAGACUGCUGUAACAGUCCAGGUGAGAUAUUAUGGCUAAAUAAGCGCAGACAUCAGGAGGGCCUGAGUGUCAGCGGUGGUGAGAAGGGGUAGGUUUUGACCACCACACAAAUCUGUCUAUAAUUUGGACCUGAUGUAUUUUUCUGGUAUCAAUUUGUAUUAUGUCUUGCCCAAUGACCAUAAUGACAUCAAUAAUAAUAAAAACUAAUGAAUG